GUCUUAAAAUGGCAGAAUAAGGCUUUUUCAAUGAUCUUUCACGCCGGUAACCGGGGUUCGAAUCCCCGUGGGGACGCCA
RNAcentral lists this transfer RNA (79 nucleotides) under Syntrophaceae bacterium. RNAcentral describes it as "tRNA-OTHER". Lineage: Bacteria; Pseudomonadati; Thermodesulfobacteriota; Syntrophia; Syntrophales; Syntrophaceae. The record is from RNAcentral.